This 294-nucleotide long non-coding RNA is filed under the name Chinchilla lanigera (long-tailed chinchilla). Its description in RNAcentral is "lncRNA (ENSCLAG00000024324.1)". The record is from RNAcentral. Lineage: Eukaryota; Metazoa; Chordata; Mammalia; Rodentia; Chinchillidae.
UUCCUCUUAACCUUGUUUUGAAUUAUUCAGAACAACACCUAAAGAGAUGGAACACUGAUACCUGAAACCUGCGGGGAGAGGGAAUCAGAAAAGGAGAAGGAAGGUUACCAGGCCUAUGGACCAGAAGUACUCCACAAAGAGCAAAGAGGUAAAUGUAGCAAACUGGAAGAGUUUCAUUAAAGAUAUGCACUGCAUGCAGAAUAUUGAACCAUUAUUGAAAAUAAAAUUGGACACGAGAUGCUUUGGACACAAUGAACUAGCCCAGGGGAUGACCAGUAAUUCUCCAGUGAGCUG